Long non-coding RNA from Hyaena hyaena (striped hyena), 393 nucleotides. RefSeq lists it as uncharacterized. NCBI's taxonomy places the organism in Eukaryota, Metazoa, Chordata, Mammalia, Carnivora, Hyaenidae. The transcript is spliced from 4 exons. The record is from RefSeq and is a predicted model, not a curated record.
GGCAGCGCUGGCUGGGGCGGACAGGCGUGCUAAGAAGCUGCAGGUGUGCUGUGUGAGCAGCACUAGCUUCUCGUGGACUCAGUCGGAGUCAGAAAGAUCCACCGAUGGAGAGCAAGUGUCACCUGUAGUGUGGCCUGAGCAGCCGCAGCGAGGAGCGUCAUGAGGGUGGAGGAUCACAGUCAGCCCACCUGAUUGCUGAACGGAGAGAGACACUGACCCACAGCUAGUUUCCGGCCGCACUGGUGCAGAGCUCCACAGAGAACACGGGACCCAAGACUGAGCCAAAGCAGUUGCAUACCAGGGUGAGGCGUGGGAAUUAUUGCAGGGGCCCCAGGGUCAAAAAGCCAAGGAAGCCCAGAUGGAGAACCAAGUCGUGGGAGCCCCCAUGGCAAC